GCAUCUGUGCUUAAACCCUAAGCACUAGCACGAGCACUGGCGCUGGCGCUGGCGCUUGGCUCAUCCUAGCCAUGUCUCUGCUUUUCACCUGCUGGCUGGGGGGGGGGGGAGGGGAGGAAAAUUAAAAACAAUUAGGGUGACGGCACAUUUUUUAUAAAUGUUUCUAUCGUAUGAAAAGUGAGGGGGGGCAGCAGGUGUGAGCAUGAGCAAACAUUUCCUGUUUUUAAAAUAUGUGUACACAGCAGAUGUAGAUAAUGUGGGAGGGCUGUGGGUACGCCCCCACCCCCACCCCCGCCCUCUUCAUCUUUUCCCCAGAAGGCCACGCCCUCAAAAACCAACAUAUCGCCACACACCUAUGCCCCAAUUCCCGGACGCUUUCUAAACCUUUCUAUGUGCCAUUACCUUCAGAUAGGAUGCCUGUCCACCAUUUUUCAGUGACCCCCCAAGCGCCUGUAUAGAGACUACGAUGCACGGCGGCUGCACUAGAAUACGAAAUCGAUCUCUUAUGCGCGGCGCUGGACUGCUAAUAUAAGCUAUAUAAUCUCUCUCUAUAUAUAGCAGCUGUGAGAGUCCCAGGGCUAAUAAAAGGAAUUGCGUGCACGGUUUGCCCGAUGAGGCGGCGGCGAAAUCCCACACAUCACCUACUGUAAUACACGCGUCAAGAGUCAGAGAAGGAGACAGCGAAUCUACGAUUAUUAAUAUUAUUAUUAUUGUGUGUGUGUGCCUGUGAUGUGUGCGCGAGAGGGAAAGCCACAUAAUAUACUACAACGACGUGCGCGGCAGAAAAAGCUACAUACAACUCUCCCAGGAAAACGCGCAGCCUGCAGGCUCCUUUUGCCUAUUAUGUUCUUAAAAACCCCGACCAUAACACUUACCGAUGGCUUUACACACGGAGGGGCAGACAACUGCUGCACCGCGACGGCAUCACGAUGCAUCCGCACCAAGCCCGGCAGCUCUUUUCAAAACAUAUCGCCCUGUGCGGAGCAUGAUACAGUUGCAUACAGGGAGUGAGAAAACCACUCAAUUCGAUGGUACGCGCGCACACAGAAUAUCCUUUUGGAUGAUCUCUACUAGCCACGACUUACUGGCCACGAGAGGCGGCGCUGCACUGGAAUACUCCAUCUUUUCCGCGCUUCUGAACUCUUAAGCUAAUUUCUUAACCUCUGUAAUAGCUACACAUACAUGUUGCGCUGAGUGCCAGGUCUUCUAAAAGGCACAGCGCGCGGUUUGUCCGAUGCGGCGGCGAGAUCCACCACACCUGCUAUGUAUCAGAUACCUACGAAAAGAUCUUUGAAUACAUAUAUAAUUAUUGUCAAGCUAUAAUUGUUUGUUCGUGGAUGUGGAACACCUCGCAAGCGAUCGAUAACGUGGGCCAGACCCUUCCCGUCGAACGUACGACAAACGACUUCAUCUUGCCAAACAAAUCCCAAGCGGUUUCAUCAUCAAGAUACACUGCAUAUCAAAUGCGCCAUCCGUGAUAUAUUUUGGAGUACAGCACAAAGAAUGUCACGAGAGGCACUGCCAACGGAUCAAACAACGGCUCGUACAACCAAUCCCAACAACCCGCGAACAAAAUCACAACGCAGCACCACUUUUACAACUCCAUCGCAAAAGCGAAUUUGCUACGUUGUGUGUCAAUAAAACACCACGGAUAUANNNNNNNNNNNNNNNNNNNNNNNNNNNNNNNNNNNNNNNNNNNNNNNNNNACCGUUUUUAGUGACCACCAAGCGCCUGUAUAGAGACUACGAUGCAUGGCGGCUGCACUAGAAUACAAAAUCGAUCUCUUAUGCGCGGUGCUGGACUGCUAAUAUAAGCUAUAUAAUCUCUCUAUUUAUAUAGCAGCUGUGAGAGUCCCAGGGCUAAUAAAAGGAAUUGCGUGCGCGGUUUGCCCGAUGAAGGCGGCGGCAAAAUCCCACCCAUCACCUACUAUUAUUUAUUAUACACGCGUCAGAUGUCAGUGAAGGAGACAGCGAAUCUACGAAAAUCACUUUGAAUGAAUGUUGUUAUAUAGUGAUAUAAAAUUAUUAUUGUGUGUGCCUGUGAUGUGUGCGCGAGAGGGAAGGCCACAUAAUAUACUACAACGGCGUGCGCGGCAGAAAAAGCUAUACACAUCUCUCCCAGGAAAACGCGCUGCCUGCAGGCUCUUUUUGCCUAUUAUGCUCUUAAAAAAACCCCGACCAUAACACUUACCGAUGGCGCUACACACGGCGGAUGUCGGGUAGGCGGACUGCUUAAACCCUAAGCACUAGCACGAGCACUGGCACUGGCGCUGGCGCUUGGCUCGUCCUAGCCAUGUCUCUGCUUUUCACCUGCUGGCUGGGGGGGGGGAGGGGAGGAAAAUUAAAAACAAUUAGGGUGACGGCACAUUUUUUAUAAAAGUUUCUAUCGUAUGAAAAGUGAGGGGGGGCAGCAGGUGUGAGCAUGAGCAAACAUUUCCUGUUUUUAAAAUAUGUGUACACAGCAGAUGUAGAUAAUGUGGGAGGGCUGUGGGUACGCCCCCACCCCCACCCCCGCCCUCUUCAUCUUUUCCCCAGAAGGCCACGCCCUCAAAAACCAACAUAUCGCCACACACCUAUGCCCCAAUUCCCGGACGCUUUCUAAACCUUUCUAUGUGCCAUUACCUUCAGAUAGGAUGCCUGUCCACCAUUUUUCAGUGACCCCCCAAGCGCCUGUAUAGAGACUACGAUGCACGGCGGCUGCACUAGAAUACGAAAUCGAUCUCUUAUGCGCGGCGCUGGACUGCUAAUAUAAGCUAUAUAAUCUCUCUCUAUAUAUAGCAGCUGUGAGAGUCCCAGGGCUAAUAAAAGGAAUUGCGUGCACGGUUUGCCCGAUGAGGCGGCGGCGAAAUCCCACACAUCACCUACUGUAAUACACGCGUCAAGAGUCAGAGAAGGAGACAGCGAAUCUACGAUUAUUAAUAUUAUUAUUAUUGUGUGUGUGUGCCUGUGAUGUGUGCGCGAGAGGGAAAGCCACAUAAUAUACUACAACGACGUGCGCGGCAGAAAAAGCUACAUACAACUCUCCCAGGAAAACGCGCAGCCUGCAGGCUCCUUUUGCCUAUUAUGUUCUUAAAAACCCCGACCAUAACACUUACCGAUGGCUUUACACACGGAGGGGCAGACAACUGCUGCACCGCGACGGCAUCACGAUGCAUCCGCACCAAGCCCGGCAGCUCUUUUCAAAACAUAUCGCC
This 3193-nucleotide long non-coding RNA is filed under the name Volvox carteri. Its description in RNAcentral is "long non-coding RNA (VCAR_LNC001649)". The record is from RNAcentral. Lineage: Eukaryota; Viridiplantae; Chlorophyta; Chlorophyceae; Chlamydomonadales; Volvocaceae.